AAAGUAGGGGAUCGUAAGACCUUGCGCUUUUGGAGUGGCCGAUGCCUGAUUAGCUAGUUGGUGGGGUAAGGGCCUACCAAGGCGACGAUCAGUAGUUGGUCUGAGAGGACGACCAGCCACACUGGGACUGAGACACGGCCCAGACUCCUACGGGAGGCAGCAGUGGGGAAUUUUGGACAAUGGGCGAAAGCCUGAUCCAGCAAUGCCGCGUGAGUGAAGAAGGCCUUCGGGUUGUAAAGCUCUUUCAGUCGAGAAGAAAAGGUUGCGACUAAUAAUCGCAACUUAUGACGGUAUCGACAGAAGAAGCACCGGCUAACUACGUGCCAGCAGCCGCGGUAAUACGUAGGGUGCGAGCGUUAAUCGGAAUUACUGGGCGUAAAGGGUGCGCAGGCGGCUCUGUAAGUCAGAUGUGAAAUCCCCGGGCUUAACCUGGGAAUUGCGUUUGAAACUACAAAGCUAGA
RNAcentral lists this ribosomal RNA (461 nucleotides) under uncultured ammonia-oxidizing beta proteobacterium. RNAcentral's name for it is "bacterial SSU rRNA". It matches the Rfam family "Bacterial small subunit ribosomal RNA", at positions 202 to 645 of the family's 1533-position model. Lineage: Bacteria; Pseudomonadati; Pseudomonadota; Betaproteobacteria. The record is from RNAcentral.